GCCUCUGCCUCCGAGCCGCUUUCCUGGUGCCUCCGGGUGCUCUGGGAUGGUUCUGGUCUUUGGGAGAGUGGCAGCUGGUGACGGCGCUCCGCUCACCUCUGCACAUGUCUUGCUGUGGGCCUGCGGGUGGCCGCCAGGGAGGCAGAGCCCUCCCGCAAACCUUCCCUGCUGGUGUCCACCUCAGGGUGUGGGAAACCUGUGCGCUGGCCGAGUGCUAACCAAGAGUAGGCAGUGAAAGACAAAUGAAGGUUGAACAGGUAAAGUGAGGACCCUACAGCGGAAACCAAGAAUCCUGUGUGCCUGAGAGUAAUGAAGAAGCCUCUGCAGAAGAGUCUUUUCUGUCAGUCUUAAGGUCUCUGUUUUAAUGUUAGUGCUGGCUUGCUGUACCUGAAUUCCAAGGGAGGAGUGUAUAAUGAGGCAUGGCCAACCCCCACUUCCCAUCAUUGCCUGAACUAGUUUUUCAGGUUAACUUCAGAAUGCCCUUGGGCAAGCAGAGGGUCCAUCAGUCGGUUGGAGGGUUUAGAAUUUUACUGUUGGUUUGCAAAGGUCUGAAAGAAACAUGUACCACCUGUUCUCUUUAAGGAGUUCUACUUAGGAGGUUUCAUUUACAUAACAAGACCGUGGUUGUCAGCCAGGUCUCCACCCGCAUAACCUGUUAUGCCACAAUCCAAACCCCCAUUCUGUAACCUCAAGAUGGUAUAUAAGUUUCUGAACCCCAUUUGGGGCUUCAGCAAAAUCACUCUGGUUCUCCCCCAUGUGCAUGUUAAUAAAUUUGUAUGCCCUUUCUCCAAUUAAUGUGCCUUUUGUCAGUUGACUUUUCAGUGAACCUUCAGAGGACAAAAAGGAAGCUUUCCCUUGGCUACUACAGUGGCUUUAAUGGAAGUAAAGUCAUCAACAACAUUUAUUUUUGACAAAAUCACAGUUUAGUUGGCAGUAUAUUUGUUUGUUUUUGUUUUAUUUGAGAUGGAGUCUCGCUCUGUCGCCCAGGCUGGAGAGCAAUGGUGCGAUCUCGGCUCACUGCAACCUCCGCCUCCCGAGUUCAAGCAUUCUCCUGCCUCAGCCUCCCGAGCAGCUGGGUAGCAGUAUAUUUGUAAUGGUACAUAAAAUAAUGUCUGUUUUUAAAUAAACAUUUACAUUGUAAACCAAAAGUUAACUCUCCAUCAAUUUUUUUUUUUCUUUUUUGAGAUGGCAUCUUGCUCUGUCACCCAGGCUGGAGGAGUGCAGUGGCAUGAUCUCGGCUCACUGCAACCUUCGCCUCCCAGGCAAGCGAUCCUCUUGCCUCAGCCUCCUGAGCAGCUGGAAUUAUAGGUGUGUGCCAAUACAACCAGCUAAUUUUCGUAUCUUUGGUAGAGACAGAGUUUCACCAUGUUGGCCAGGCUUGUCUCGAAUUCCUGACCUCAGUUGAUCUGUCCGUCUCAGCUUCCCAAAGUGCUGGGAUUACAGGCAUGAGCCACCACAUCCGGCAUCCAUCAAUUUAGAAAGUUUAUUUCACCAAGAUUAAGGUUGCACCCGUGACACAGCCUCAGAAGGCCCUGAUGACCAUGUGCCCUUGGUGGUCAGGGUACAGCUUGCUUUUAUACAUGUUAGGGAGACAUGAGACAUCAAUCAGUAUGUGUAAGAUGUACUUUAGUCAGGUAAAGCGGGACUUGAGGUGAGGGCUUCCAGGUCAUGAGUAGAUAAGAGGCAAAAGAUCGCAUUUUUUUGAGUCCUUGAUCAGCCUUCCACUGAAUACACAAUUUAGUCUGGCUCAGUGAAUUAUCAUUUUUACGUAAACAAUAGGGGAGGGGAAGCAAUUAGAUAUGCAUUUGUCUCAGGCGCACCUUAAAGGGAUAACUUUGAGUUCUGUCUGUCCUUUAUCCACAAGGAAUUUCCUUGUGGGCAAAUUUUAAGGGAGGUACGUAGCCUCUUAUCUUGGCAGCUAUCUUAUUUAGGAAUAGAAUGGGAGGCAGGUUUGCCUGACAUAGUUUCCAGCUUGACUUUACCCUUUGGUUUAGUGAUUUUGUGGUCCUGAGUUUUAUUUUCCUUUCACAGAAAUUAUACCGUAAAAGUAAUUGAAGAAAAUCACUUCUUUCCCCUUCCCUCAACUAGGCCUUGACCAUUUUAAAUAAAAUCAGGAUUUGCUGAAGGUCAACAAAUUUAACCAAGUUCAGUUAAAACUUAACUCUGAAUCUGUAUGUCCCUGGGGUCUUUUCCAGUGAGAGAUGUCUAAGCAUCAUUCCAAGCUUUUCUAUACUAACUGGCCUAUUUGUAUGUUUCUUAUUUUAGGAUUCCUUUUGUUCAUGUGUAUUUUUAUUAGGCAAUCACCCAUUUCCUGUAGGUUUCCAGGUUAAUAUAUUUUUCUUAUUGGAAUUUUAAUUUAUCCUCUCUAGUUUUCUACAUAUUUUUUUUUUCUUUGAGACGAGGUCUCAUAUGUUGCCCCGGUUGGCCUCAAACUCCUGGGCUUAAGCAAUCCUCCCACCUUGGCCUCCCAAAGUGCUGGGAUUAUAGGUGUGAAUUACUGUACCCAGCCUAGAAUCCUUAGUCCUAUAUACUUUUGCUGUUUUUUUCAUUGCCAACUUGAAAUAAUAAAAAGGGUCAGAAUCCUAUAAACCAAAAAUAAAAUAAGGCCCCCCAACCCUCUGAAUGGACUUCCUCCUCUGACACAGAUCUUUUACAAUUUAACCUGUAUGAACCCCAAAAAUUGGAGACAGGUCUCAGUUAAUUUAGAAAAUUUAUCUUGCGAAGGUCAAGGACACACGAUUAUGACAGCCUCAGGAGGUCCUGACGACAUGUACCUAAGAUAGUCAGAGCACAGGGUGGUUUUAUACAUUUUAGGGAGAUAUAAGACAUCAAUCAACAUAUGUAAAAUGAAUAUUGGUCAGGAAAGGUGGGACAACUCAAAGAAAAAAUGGGACAACUCGAAGUGGGGAGGGGCUUCCAGGUCACAGGUAGGUGAGAGACAAAUGGUUGCACUCUUUUGAGUUUCUGAUUCACCUUUCUAAAAGAGGCAGUCAGACAUGCAUUUAUCUCAGUGAGCAGAGGGAUGACUGAAUGGAAUGGGAAGCAGGUUUGCCCUAAGCAGUUCCCAGCUUGACUUUUCCCAUUAGCUUAGUGAUUAUGGGAUUCCAAGGUAAUUUCCUUUCACAUUUCCCCCCUUUUCUUUUUUAAAA
Molecule: long non-coding RNA, 3149 nt
Filed under: Homo sapiens (human)
Lineage: Eukaryota; Metazoa; Chordata; Mammalia; Primates; Hominidae
Description: non-protein coding lnc-TBP-11:1
Source: RNAcentral